Molecule: small nuclear RNA, 63 nt
Filed under: Vulpes vulpes (red fox)
Lineage: Eukaryota; Metazoa; Chordata; Mammalia; Carnivora; Canidae
Source: RNAcentral
ACAAGAUUAACAUGGCUCCUGUGUUAGGAUAACACAUAAAUUUAUGAAGUGUUCCACAUUUUU